RNAcentral lists this transfer RNA (68 nucleotides) under Tettigades limbata. RNAcentral's name for it is "tRNA-Leu". Lineage: Eukaryota; Metazoa; Arthropoda; Insecta; Hemiptera; Cicadidae. The record is from RNAcentral.
GCUGUUUUGGCAGAUUAAGUGCAUUAAAUUUAGAAUUUAAACAAGUGAUUAAAUAAUUACAUACAGUA